This 466-nucleotide ribosomal RNA is filed under the name uncultured bacterium. Its description in RNAcentral is "partial 16S ribosomal RNA". It matches the Rfam family "Bacterial small subunit ribosomal RNA", at positions 28 to 507 of the family's 1533-position model. The record is from RNAcentral.
GAUGAACGCUGGCGGCGUGCUUAACACAUGCAAGUCGAACGAUGAAGCCCAGCUUGCUGGGUGGAUUAGUGGCGAACGGGUGAGCAACACGUGAGUAACCUGCCCUUAACUCUGGGAUAAGCCUGGGAAACUGGGUCUAAUACCGGAUAGGAGCGUCCACCGCAUGGUGGGUGUUGGAAAGAUUUAUCGGUUUUGGAUGGACUCGCGGCCUAUCAGCUUGUUGGUGAGGUAAUGGCUCACCAAGGCGACGACGGGUAGCCGGCCUGAGAGGGUGACCGGCCACACUGGGACUGAGACACGGCCCAGACUCCUACGGGAGGCAGCAGUGGGGAAUAUUGCACAAUGGGCGCAAGCCUGAUGCAGCGACGCCGCGUGAGGGAUGACGGCCUUCGGGUUGUAAACCUCUUUCAGUAGGGAAGAAGCGAAAGUGACGGUACCUGCAGAAGAAGCACCGGCUAACUACGUG